UACAGAGGGGGCAAGCGUUGUUCGGAAUUACUGGGCGUAAAGGGCGCGUAGGCGGCCUGCUAAGUCGAACGUGAAAUCCCCGGGCUCAACCCGGGAACUGCGUCCGAUACUGGCAGGCUUGAAUCCGGGAGAGGGAUGUGGAAUUCCAGGUGUAGCGGUGAAAUGCGUAGAUAUCUGGAGGAACACCGGUGGCGAAGGCGGCGACCUGGGUAGAUACUGACGCUGAGGCGCGAAAGCGUGGGGAGCAAACAGG
RNAcentral lists this ribosomal RNA (253 nucleotides) under uncultured bacterium. RNAcentral's name for it is "partial 16S ribosomal RNA". It matches the Rfam family "Bacterial small subunit ribosomal RNA", at positions 524 to 776 of the family's 1533-position model. The record is from RNAcentral.